AAUAAAACAAUUAGGAGCAACGCUCUGAGAAUAUUUAUUUCUGGAUUAAACGGUUCAAUCUCAGAAACACUCUUCUCUCUUAACCCAUCAGACUUCCCAAAUGCUUUGGCAAAGUGUCAGGAAUUAGAGUCUAACAACUUUAGAGCUCAAUUUGCAAAUAGGUAUAAUGGAUUUAGGAAUGAAAAUAAAAAUCAAGGAAACAACCUUAGAUUUGCCUCUAGACAGAUUAAUAAUACACCAAAUAGGAUAAAUAAUAAUUGGCCGCAAAACGGGAACUUGGGAGCGAAUAACAAUUGGAAUUUUAAUAAUAAUUCCAAAGUUCAACCACCACCAGAACCUAUGGAAGUAGACGGCUCCAUAAGAGUUCAAAAUCGUCCUAGGAAUAAUAACAACCAGUGGAAUUAUAAUAUUAACCGACACAAUUUUAAUAAUAAUUUCCAAAGAAAUAAUUAUAACCAAUACCCAGCGCAAAAACACAACACAAGCGCAGGUCAUGUAAAUCAGUCCGAAACACACCCCCCGAUAAAACGGGAAUCAACGGGAACAGUCAACCAGCCAGCUCAAAAAACAAUGAGGGUUCCCGGUUUAUCGCCGGUUGCGGUCCCGCUUCUGCUGCUUAUCCUCUUCCGCUGCUCGCUGGGAAGGCGCUCCACUAGACGACCUGAUUAGGUUGUUUCUUCUCCUUCUGCCCGCCUGUGGCUGCCCCAGUCGACCCUUGGGUUCAGGGCAGUGAUGCUGAUGCGCGAUGACUACGCCAAGCGAAGAUUUUUCCGCCUUCAAUUUCUGCUCUAAAUAUUUUCAGCAUCAACCAACAGUUCAUCUUUUCUCCGAAAUUUACUAACCCGCGGCUGCCCCAGUCGAACCUUGGGGUCUGGACGGCAAUGCUGCUGCGCGAUGGCCGCUCCAAGCGAAGAUUUUUCCGGCUUAAAUCUAUGCCUGGAAAACACACGUUACCUUAACCCGCGCACCGAUAAUGUCCAGGAAAACUCACUCUAAUACUAUUUCCCGCGACAAAAAAAAUUCUCACGUCCGCAGGUUACGAUUCUUUUUCAGACACGAACUUUCCACAACUUGACUCGUCGACUGUUUUAUUAGAAAGAAAAUCAUCCGGAAACUUAAGCUUAAGAAUCAGUCGAGUUUUACCACUGACACGAAUCUAACUAUAAAAUGAACGGAGCUAUGCUCCAUAAAGAAACAUUCAAAUGAUUUUCAAAUUACAUGGCGACCGUGACAGAACCAGGAUCUAAGGCCUAAGGACAAAGGGCCUAAGGACUACAAAGGAUUAAGGACUACUACAAUCACUAUCAAAUCAAAAAUUUUAUUUGUCUGGACUGGAGACACGGAUUGAUUUCUUACAAAAAGAAUUAAAAAAAGCGCCAAUAAAAACCCAAAGACCAACUCUCUCAUUCAUCAAAACCACAAAUAAUAAAAAAAUUAAAUCUGCAACACCACCACCCAGAGCCAGCAUACCAGUUUACAAGAAACAAUGCCCGUUGAAGGACCAUGGAGCGCCUAUUGCAAGUACACUUGCAAACAUUGUAAGGACAUCAACCAGCAGAAGGAAGCCUGUGCGACAACCAGAACCGGCACCGCUUAACGCGUCAAGUUAAACCAGCGAGGAAACCGACAGCGCUUCCGAGAGCGCAAUUUUUUCUGUCGAUAGAACUGCGUUGCAAAAUUUUUUCGCAGUGUCUAUAGUGACAAGCAGAAUAUAUAAAGAAAAAUUAAUGCUAAAUAACAAUAAUUCUGUUAGCAAUUUUUAUACUAAUGAUAAUACAGGCACUUAUAAAAGUGUACAAACUCCACAAUAAAUGUUUAAAGAAACGAUAUAAUAGCAGGACCUAGAACAAAUUUAAUUUUGAAAUAAUGGUCAUUAAUGAAAUAAAAAUAAUAAUAAAAUGAAAAAACAAAUCUUUCUUUUAAAUACUUAAAAAUGUCUCAAAGAAAUUAUGGAUUGGCAAAAUUUAACAGCCAUCUUAAAUGAAAUAUAAGAAAAAUUUGAUAAGUCAUAUGUUUGUCUUAGAAUAGAACAAUCCAAAAAUAAACUGCUAGUAAGCAUAUAACCAUUCUGGUAGAAUCAUUUAAUCCCGUGUACAUGACCAAAGAGGGGAAAUAGACAAAAAACAGUGGACAACAGGGUCCAAAUUUUUGAUUAGACUAAAAAUAAUCUAAUAAAUAUCAAAGAAAGGUUCGAUCUAAACAUAUCGAUACCAACAAUUCUUUUUCCCCUUUGACUCUAAGUGAAGAAAAAACAUAAUCACCCUAUUAUUCUGACUCGGAACUAGAAAUCAAAGAAGAAGAUUUGAAAAAGAUUGAUUGGCACAACUCUGAACCUGGUACUGAGCGAAUCUACAAUUGAAGCAAUAAUUAACAAACUGCAAACUUCAAUUUUUGGGGAGACAUCCCAAAAAAUCAAGGCAAAAUUAUCUACUGUACAACAAAAAGGCAAAAAGGCUACACAGUUCAAAACCGAAGUUGAUAAUUUACGUAAGCUCUUAGAAGCUUCGUAUAUCGAUUAAGGUUUACAAAGUGAGCAAGCCAAUAGAUUGAGUACUAGGGAUGCCAUCCAUGUGAUGAUCAAAAAGACCGAACACGAAAGCUACUCAGCUACCCGCUAACAUAAGCAACCCAAACUUAACGUAAACACAGCUUCCGCUUGGAGACCAAACCACGGCCAACUUAUUGCGCAUCAAUCAAAAACUGCAUCGAUCAGCAUAAUUGAAUUUCACAAUGCAGUGGAAUAAUUUCAGCAUAAAGCUUUUAUCGAAAGUUUGGUAAUUUUCCAAAAGAAAAGCUUCUGGCCGAGGUUGAUUGGAUUAGGACUUAGAAUUUGAAGAUCAGUCUGAAUCGGGACGAGAUCGUCAACAGCUCGAAGCUAAAGAUAAGCUACCAACAAAGUGUCUCGUAAUAGUAUAAGUGAAAAGGUUUAUCACCAAAUAAAAGUUAAAUAAUAAAAAUAAAAUUUAUUUUUUUAAAUAAAUAAAUAAAGAGUAACAAUUUAAAUUGGCGCCCAACGUGGUGCCGCGUAUUUAAAAGUUCUAAAUAAAUAUUAAGGAUAAUAAGUUAAAUAUAAAACUUUUAACAUACAUAUAUAAUACAUAUACAUUCACCAGGCAGCGAAGGCGCACUUCAUAGCCUAAGAAGAACAUUGUAUUAGCUUUAAGAAUCAGUCGAGUUUUACCACUGACACGAGUCUAACUAUAAAAUAAACGGAGCUAUGCUCCAUAAAGAAACA
This is a long non-coding RNA of Drosophila simulans, 3235 nucleotides long. RefSeq lists it as uncharacterized. Lineage: Eukaryota; Metazoa; Arthropoda; Insecta; Diptera; Drosophilidae. The record is from RefSeq and is a predicted model, not a curated record. The transcript is spliced from 2 exons.